Non-coding RNA from Microcebus murinus (gray mouse lemur), 1106 nucleotides. NCBI's taxonomy places the organism in Eukaryota, Metazoa, Chordata, Mammalia, Primates, Cheirogaleidae. The record is from RefSeq and is a predicted model, not a curated record.
UAAACGAAAAAGGGGUCUUAAUGUGUAAGAAGGAGGAUUAACACAUCAGAGAUUUGUUUUCUGUUUUAUAUACAUAUUUCAACAUGGUGUUAGCUUCUCAGAAAACUCAAAAGGUUGGAGUAACACAGGACUCAAUAGUGUCCAAGGAGCAGCUACACCAGGAUUUUAAAAUAGCAAAAUGCUAGUCAGCUGUAGUUGUAAAUGUAAUAAAAGAAUGCCUAAACAAGUACCCACGCUCUCAACUUCCUUCCCAAGGAGGCUCAUUUACAUUAUAAUGGUUGCCAAGGUUACUUUAAUUCCAUCACAGCUCCUGUCUCCAGUGGCUAAUCUGGCGCCUGGGUGGCACAAGUACAACAACCAAAAGCCUUAAUUGAAGCUAACUCAAAACUCAGGCUACUCAAAAGUUCAUGACCUACAAAAAGGAUUUUGUUCUAGCGACACAAAUUGCUGAAGCACUGUUUUUAAGAUCCAUCAGGCUGCCGAGUAAGUGCUCAUCUAGUCCAUUACGUCAAACUGUCUGAUGGUACUCUGUGGUAUCAUUUACCCUUCACUGGGCAAACGGUAUGGACAACAAAAUUGCUUUCCACAAGAACAAAUAACACUGCAAUGAACAACCCCUCAUGGACUUAUGUGAGAAUUUCUUUCAGAUAUAGGCCCAGGAAAAAAACUGCUGGAUCAUGGGGCAUACAUAAUGCAUAAUCUGAUUAAGCACCACCCUCCAAAAUGAUUAGACACCAAGCACUGGAUAGGCACUUAAGAUCCUUUUGUUCCUGUACCACCUCAUUCUCUUCAGCUAGCUGGGGCUCUGUUUAAUCUUCACAUCAGUCGUCAUUAUGUCAGAAAUAUGAAGGUGCAAUGUUUCUGGAUCUUCCAAUCCUGUACAGAUUUAUGUGACUCAGAGCACCAAAGGAGUGUGUUAAUUAGUACCAAGGGGAACUGAGCAUGGAACUCUGCUUAACCAGCAAUCUAGGAUGUGAGCUCCUGACAGAAAUAAGAGAAGAAUGAUUUCCCACCCAAGUAUGAUGAGUGCAUCAAAUGAAAAUGAUGCCCAGGAACAAGCAGUUCCAGAAACAAGAAUUCAAAUAAAACUGGCUUUGUAACAUUAA